UACAGAGGGGGCAAGCGUUGUUCGGAAUUACUGGGCGUAAAGGGCGCGUAGGCGGCCUUCUAAGUCGAACGUGAAAUCCAUGGGCUCAACCCAGGAACUGCGUCCGAUACUGGAAGGCUUGAAUCCGGGAGAGGGAUGCGGAAUUCCAGGUGUAGCGGUGAAAUGCGUAGAUAUCUGGAGGAACACCGGUGGCGAAGGCGGCAUCCUGGACCGGUAUUGACGCUGAGGCGCGAAAGCCAGGGGAGCAAACGGG
RNAcentral lists this ribosomal RNA (253 nucleotides) under uncultured bacterium. Its description in RNAcentral is "partial 16S ribosomal RNA". It matches the Rfam family "Bacterial small subunit ribosomal RNA", at positions 524 to 776 of the family's 1533-position model. The record is from RNAcentral.